UAACGGUUAGUCUAAUACAAGACCACUAGUUUCGACCUAGUAAAUCUCAAACCCUCUGAGACCGCUAA
RNAcentral lists this transfer RNA (68 nucleotides) under Rhacodactylus willihenkeli. RNAcentral's name for it is "Rhacodactylus sp. KGeiss-2023a tRNA-Arg". Lineage: Eukaryota; Metazoa; Chordata; Lepidosauria; Squamata; Diplodactylidae. The record is from RNAcentral.